Molecule: unclassified non-coding RNA, 489 nt
Filed under: Hevea brasiliensis (rubber tree)
Lineage: Eukaryota; Viridiplantae; Streptophyta; Magnoliopsida; Malpighiales; Euphorbiaceae
Source: RNAcentral
ACUUAUCAGGAUUUUUCCGAUCUAGUCCAAGGGUUUUCGCUUUCAUUUGGAGGCAUUGUGAUCAGAUUUUUCGGCCAAUUGGAUGGCGCCACCUCCAGGUCCUUACUCCGGCACCAGCACUCUCGCUCUGGUGGCUCGGGCGUCGGCAUUUAGUUUUGGUCUUGUUUAUGGUAGUGUGAAGCUGAAGAUUCUCAAGAUGAAGGCAAAGUCGCAUAAGAAGUCUGAAGCUAAGGCACAUCACUGAGGAGCUGAUAUGCAGGUCUUGGGUUGAAAUAAAAAGUCUUGCGUCUUUGGAAUGGUUCCCAUCAUUUUAAGCAUUUAGCAAAGGUGGUGCUUGUUUUAGGUAUAGUGAACAUUCUGAAUUUUCUUUUCAUUUUCAGAAUCACUAAGAAUGGUAGAUUCGAGAAUUUAAUUUGUCGAAGAGCAAUCAUUUUGUGGAUUAUUGGGUACUCAUAUACCAAUAUCAGGCACCACCUUUGCUAAAUGCUU